CACAUUAUGUUGAAAAUACUGGUUCCUGUACAAUCACUGAAGUUAAGCAAUCGUAAGCCUGGUCAGUACCUAGAUGGGUGACUGCUUGGGAACACUAAG
Non-coding RNA from Acanthosepion pharaonis, 99 nucleotides. Lineage: Eukaryota; Metazoa; Mollusca; Cephalopoda; Sepiida; Sepiidae. The record is from the annotation of a GenBank genome assembly.